GACGAACGCUGACGGUGUGCUUUAGACAUGCAAGUCGAACGAGAAAGCCCUUCGGGGUUAGUAAAGUGGCGAACGGGUGAGUAACACGUGGGCAAUCUGCCCCUCCGCAGGGGGACGAACCGGAGGAAACUCCGGCUAAUACCCCGUAAGUUCAAAGGGAGGCAUCUCUCUUCGAAGAAAGGUAGCUUCGGCCAUCCGGCGAGGGAUGAGCCCGCGGUGCAUUAGCUAGUUGGUGGGGUAACGGCCUACCAAGGCGACGAUGCAUAGCUGGUCUGAGAGGAUGAUCAGCCACACUGGGACUGAGACACGGCCCAGACUCCUACGGGAGGCAGCAGUCGGGAAUCUUGCGCAAUGGGCGAAAGCCUGACGCAGCAACACCGUGUGUGUGAGGAAGGCCCUC
RNAcentral lists this ribosomal RNA (400 nucleotides) under uncultured bacterium. RNAcentral describes it as "bacterial SSU rRNA". It matches the Rfam family "Bacterial small subunit ribosomal RNA", at positions 28 to 419 of the family's 1533-position model. The record is from RNAcentral.